UCGAACGGUGAAGCCCAGCUUGCUGGGUGGAUCAGUGGCGAACGGGUGAGUAACACGUGAGCAAUCUGCCCCUGACUCUGGGAUAAGCGCUGGAAACGGCGUCUAAUACUGGAUACGAACCGUGGAGGCAUCUUCAACGGUUGGAAAGAUUUUUUGGUCAGGGAUGAGCUCGCGGCCUAUCAGCUUGUUGGUGAGGUAAUGGCUCACCAAGGCAUCGACGGGUAGCCGGCCUGAGAGGGUGACCGGCCACACUGGGACUGAGACACGGCCCAGACUCCUACGGGAGGCAGCAGUGGGGAAUAUUGCACAAUGGGCGCAAGCCUGAUGCAGCAACGCCGCGUGAGGGAUGACGGCCUUCGGGUUGUAAACCUCUUUUAGCAGGGAAGAAGCGAAAGUGACGGUACCUGCAGAAAAAGCGCCGGCUAACUACGUGCCAGCAGCCGCGGUAAUACGUAGGGCGCAAGCGUUAUCCGGAAUUAUUGGGCGUAAAGAGCUCGUAGGCGGUUUGUCGCGUCUGCUGUGAAAUCCCGAGGCUCAACUUCGGGUCUGCAGUGGGUACGGGCAGACUAGAGUGCGGUAGGGGAGAUUGGAAUUCCUGGUGUAGCGGUGGAAUGCGCAGAUAUCAGGAGGAACACCGAUGGCGAAGGCAGAUCUCUGGGCCGUAACUGACGCUGAGGAGCGAAAGGGUGGGGAGCAAACAGGCUUAGAUACCCUGGUAGUCCACCCCGUAAACGUUGGGAACUAGUUGU
RNAcentral lists this ribosomal RNA (749 nucleotides) under Microbacterium sp. RNAcentral describes it as "bacterial SSU rRNA". It matches the Rfam family "Bacterial small subunit ribosomal RNA", at positions 62 to 823 of the family's 1533-position model. Lineage: Bacteria; Bacillati; Actinomycetota; Actinomycetes; Micrococcales; Microbacteriaceae. The record is from RNAcentral.